AUGGAAUCCAACAGAGAAGAGGCCGUCAAGGCUAGGGAAAUUGCUUUAAAAAAGUUAGAAAGCAAAGACUUUGUUGGUGCUAAAAGGAUUGCACUGAAAGCACAAAGGAUUUUUCCAGAACUUGAAAACUUAUCUCAGCUGUUGACUGUCUGCGAAGUGCAUUGUGCAGCAGAGGCAAAGAUCAAUGAGUUGUUGGACUUCUACGGGAUUCUCCAAGUGGAUGUAACGGCUGAUGAGGCAACCAUAAAGAAGCAGUACCGGAAGCUUGCCUUUUCACUCCACCCUGAUAAAAAUAGUUACCCUGGUGCAGAAGCUGCUUUUAAAUUGGUAGCAGAAGCUCACUCAACAUUGUCUGAUCGAACAAAAAAACCUGCAUAUGACAUCAAGUGGAGGGUUGCUUCUAGAAUUGCACCAAAGCAGGGUUCAGAACUAAAGCAGGCCACAGGACCAAAGCAAGGUGCCCAACCAAAGCAGGCUACCCAAUCAAAGAAGGCAGCAAUACCCAAGCAGGCAACAGUACCGAAGCAGGCGGCAGUACCAAAGCAGGCACCCAUACCAAAGCAGGCGACAGUACCAAAGCAGGCACCCAUACCAAAGCAGGCGGCAGUACCAAAGCAGACAGCUACAGAACAGAUGAAGAAACCUGGUGCAAAUAGAAGUAGUGUAGCAGGAGGUGAACCACCAGUUCCAUCAACCACUGUUGGACAGGCAAUAUGGACCAUAUGCAUUCACUGUAGAACAAGAUAUCAGUACUACAGUGGCGUACUAAAUCAUCGCAUCCGCUGUCAGAACUGCAGUAAAUAUUUUGUUGCUUCUAAGCUGAAUGCACAUGAUGUGCCUUCUGUAUUCACAUCAAAUUCCAUCAAAGGUGUUGGACAACAGAGUGGUUUUCCCAGUCAACCAGACUGUUCUACAAAGUUCUCUCCUAGGUUGAAUGGUGAUGCUAAGCCCUUGAAUGGAGCACAAACUGCUGAACAUAUGAAGAGUGCCAGAGCGGGUGGUGAGGAGAAGUUUAACCAUGCAGGGGCAGGUGGGAAAAGCGGGGUUGAAUUUUCAACAGGGAAUAUGUCUAAAUCUUCUGCACCAAGUGCAAGUGACAAGGCAGGUGGAAGAAUGGCAUCUGACCCUGCUGGUCCAGAUGUUGCUUAUAGUAAAAACCCAUGCAGUAGGGUAGUAGAUACACCAGCAGAGCCAGGUGCUACUGGCAGCCCUAGUCCCCGGAGAUCCGCUAGGAGAAAGGCAAACCAUGAUGCCAGUACCCCGGUUCCCCCUAGCAAAAAGAGGCGAACACUAAAAGACUGGUUUUCAAAUGCUGACACUAGUUGUAAGAAAAUGUUUGAUGACAAUGUUGCUCGUGCUGAUGGAAAAACUGGUGAAGCUCAUGUCCCUAGCAAAGCACACAAUGAAGAGAGAGGAAGCACUGCCAAAGAAGGGAACCAGGAAAGUGUUAAGAAAGAAUUUACAUGUGAUGCAUCUGCUGCGAAGGAUCCUUGCGAUUCUGCACAAUUAACCUACCCUGACCCAGAAUUUUUUGACUUUGAUAAAGGCAGGGAUGUGAAUUUGUUUGCAGUUGAUCAGAUUUGGGCAGUUUAUGAUGACCGCGAUGGCAUGCCACGAUAUUAUGCUCGAAUAAAGCAUGUAGAUGCUACCAAAUCCACUAUUCGGUACACUUGGCUGGAGCAUAAGGCAGUUAAUGAUGAAGAAGACAGAUGGACGGAUAAAGAACUGCCUGUUGCUUGUGGGAAGUUUAAUUUAGGAAAAACGGAGGUAUCACAAGGUGCCCUCAUGUUUUCUCAUACUGUUGUUCCAUGGGUGAUGGGCAAAAGAGGGUGUGCCUACGAAAUAUAUCCCAGGAAGGGUGAGGUAUGGGCUCUUUAUAAGGGUUGGAGUAUGCAGUGGUGUUCAGAUGCAGAUAACCAUAAAACAUACGAGUACGACGUUGUGGAGGUUCUGUCAGACUUCACAAUGGAAGGUGGAGCUGCUGUUUUUCCCUUGGUCAAGAUUAAGGGGUUUGUCAGUCUAUUUGGAAAAGCAAUUGACAGAUCAUCUUUUGUUAUACCAUCUAGUGAACUGCUUCGAUUUUCGCACAAUAUCCCAUUUUAUAGGACAAAAGGAAAUGAAAAGGCUGGUGUGGCAGGUGGGUUUCUUGAACUAGAUACCGUAUCACUUCCUAGUAACCUGGACGCAUCGUUUCCAUCAGUUACUAUCGACAAGACAAUUAGCAGUGGUUUCAUUGAUGCCAGUGAUAUUAGUACACCAGGUCCUGGAAAUGAACCAAGUGCUCAAAAGGAAAAUCAGCAAAGUGGAGGAAAACGGAUAGAUGAUUCCCUUGAACAAACCCCAAGACAGAAACAGAAAGGCGGCACUGCGAGUGUGCCUGGUUCUUCUUCUCAGCUAUUCCGCUCCUCUCCAAGUACUAUUGCAACAUAUCCAGAUUCAGAGUUUUAUAACUUUGAAGAAGGGCGAUCAUAUAACAAGUUUGAACGUGGCCAGAUAUGGGCUCUUUACAGCGAUCUUGACAAAUUUCCCAAGUAUUACGGCUGGGUGACCAAAGUUGAUAUGGAACCGUUCAGAUUGCAUUUAACUUGGCUCGAAGCGUGUCCUCAACUGGAGCAAGAGAAGAUGUGGUUGAAGCGUGAUAUACCUGUGAGCUGUGGGACAUUUAAGCUCCGCAACUGGAGGAUCAAGUAUGAUUCAAAUGACGCAUUCUCUCAUUUAGUAGAAACUAGCCAAGUUAAUGGGCAACGUUUUGAAAUUCACCCGCGAGUAGGUGAAAUUUGGGCCAUUUACAACAACGACUGGGCACCUGACUGGGUUCCUUCCAGUGAUGAUGCGUGUGAAUAUGCCGUCGGUGAGAUUACUGAGCGCACUGAAGCUAGCACGAAGUUCUCGUUUCUGACUCCAGUAGACGGUUACACAGCUGUGUUCAGGUUUGACAAUGAAAGGGGUAUUCUGGAGAUUCCUGCAAAUGAGAACUUGAGGUUUUCUCACCAUAUACCUUCUUACCGUCUGACGGAAGAAAAAAGUGGCACGCUCCGUGGCUUCUAUGAGCUAGAUCCAGCUUCUGUUCCUGAUGCUUUCCUGGUCCGAGGGGGCACCUGCUGA
Molecule: ribosomal RNA, 3105 nt
Filed under: Triticum aestivum (bread wheat)
Lineage: Eukaryota; Viridiplantae; Streptophyta; Magnoliopsida; Poales; Poaceae
Description: partial small subunit ribosomal RNA
Source: RNAcentral